AUACGGAGGGUGCAAGCGUUAAUCGGAAUUACUGGGCGUAAAGCGCGCGUAGGCGGCUAAGUAAGUCGGAUGUGAAAGCCCUGGGCUUAACCUGGGAAUUGCAUUCGAUACUGCUUGGCUCGAGUAUGGUAGAGGGUAGUGGAAUUCCUGGUGUAGCGGUGAAAUGCGUAGAUAUCAGGAGGAACAUCAGUGGCGAAGGCGGCUACCUGGACCAAUACUGACGCUAAGGUGCGAAAGCGUGGGGAGCAAACAGGAUUAGAAACCCGGGUAGUCC
This 274-nucleotide ribosomal RNA is filed under the name uncultured bacterium. Its description in RNAcentral is "partial 16S ribosomal RNA". It matches the Rfam family "Bacterial small subunit ribosomal RNA", at positions 523 to 796 of the family's 1533-position model. The record is from RNAcentral.